GAUGAACGCUGGCGGCGUGCCUAAUACAUGCAAGUCGAGCGAACGGACGAGAAGCUUGCUUCUCUGAUGUUAGCGGCGGACGGGUGAGUAACACGUGGAUAACCUACCUAUAAGACUGGGAUAACUUCGGGAAACCGGAGCUAAUACCGAAUAAUAUUUUGAACCGCAUGGUUCAAAAGUGAAAGACGGUCUUGCUGUCACUUAUAGAUGGAUCCGCGCUGCAUUAGCUAGUUGGUAAGGUAACGGCUUACCAAGGCAACGAUGCAUAGCCGACCUGAGAGGGUGAUCGGCCACACUGGAACUGAGACACGGUCCAGACUCCUACGGGAGGCAGCAGUAGGGAAUCUUCCGCAAUGGGCGAAAGCCUGACGGAGCAACGCCGCGUGAGUGAUGAAGGUCUUCGGAUCGUAAAACUCUGUUAUUAGGGAAGAACAUAUGUGUAAGUAACUGUGCACAUCUUGACGGUACCUAAUCAGAAAGCCACGGCUAACUACGUGCCAGCAGCCGCGGUAAUACGUAGGUGGCAAGCGUUAUCCGGAAUUAUUGGGCGUAAAGCGCGCGUAGGCGGUUUUUUAAGUCUGAUGUGAAAGCCCACGGCUCAACCGUGGAGGGUCAUUGGAAACUGGAAAACUUGAGUGCAGAAGAGGAAAGUGGAAUUCCAUGUGUAGCGGUGAAAUGCGCAGAGAUAUGGAGGAACACCAGUGGCGAAGGCGACUUUCUGGUCUGUAACUGACGCUGAUGUGCGAAAGCGUGGGGAUCAAACAGGAUUAGAUACCCUGGUAGUCCACGCCGUAAACGAUGAGUGCUAAGUGUUAGGGGGUUUCCGCCCCUUAGUGCUGCAGCUAACGCAUUAAGCACUCCGCCUGGGGAGUACGACCGCAAGGUUGAAACUCAAAGGAAUUGACGGGGACCCGCACAAGCGGUGGAGCAUGUGGUUUAAUUCGAAGCAACGCGAAGAACCUUACCAAAUCUUGACAUCCUUUGACAACUCUAGAGAUAGAGCCUUCCCCUUCGGGGGACAAAGUGACAGGUGGUGCAUGGUUGUCGUCAGCUCGUGUCGUGAGAUGUUGGGUUAAGUCCCGCAACGAGCGCAACCCUUAAGCUUAGUUGCCAUCAUUAAGUUGGGCACUCUAAGUUGACUGCCGGUGACAAACCGGAGGAAGGUGGGGAUGACGUCAAAUCAUCAUGCCCCUUAUGAUUUGGGCUACACACGUGCUACAAUGGACAAUACAAAGGGCAGCGAAACCGCGAGGUCAAGCAAAUCCCAUAAAGUUGUUCUCAGUUCGGAUUGUAGUCUGCAACUCGACUACAUGAAGCUGGAAUCGCUAGUAAUCGUAGAUCAGCAUGCUACGGUGAAUACGUUCCCGGGUCU
This 1372-nucleotide ribosomal RNA is filed under the name uncultured bacterium. Its description in RNAcentral is "bacterial SSU rRNA". It matches the Rfam family "Bacterial small subunit ribosomal RNA", at positions 28 to 1381 of the family's 1533-position model. The record is from RNAcentral.